UUACCGGCUUGACAUGCCUAAUCUCCUUCGGGCACAGGUGGUGCAUGGUUGUCGUCAGCUCGUGUCGUGAGAUGUUGGGUUAAGUCCCGCAACGAGCGCAACCCUGUUUUAGUUGCCAUCAUAUGGGACUCUAGGAGACUGCCGGUGACAACCGGAGGAAGGUGGGGAUGACGUCAAAUCAUCAUGCCCCUUAUGUCGGGCUACACACGUGCUACAAUGGGGUACACGGGGCAGAGUAAUCGGAGCAAUCUUAAAACCGCCCCAGUUCGGAUUGUGGGCUGAAACUCGCCCACAUGAAGUUGGAGUUGCUAGUAAUCGCGAUCAGAUGCGCGGUGAAUGCGUUCCCGGGUCUUGUACACACCGCCCGUCACACCAUGGAAGUUGGAGGCCGAA
RNAcentral lists this ribosomal RNA (393 nucleotides) under uncultured bacterium. Its description in RNAcentral is "bacterial SSU rRNA". It matches the Rfam family "Bacterial small subunit ribosomal RNA", at positions 971 to 1425 of the family's 1533-position model. The record is from RNAcentral.